Molecule: long non-coding RNA, 265 nt
Filed under: Gallus gallus (chicken)
Lineage: Eukaryota; Metazoa; Chordata; Aves; Galliformes; Phasianidae
Source: RNAcentral
GGUGUCCACAGCACACUCCAGUGAGCCCUGCAGGGACUGCAGCUGGUGCAUGGUCUCCCGCAGCAGGAAGCGGGUCAGGAACUGCUCCAUCUUGGAGGAGGUCUCGUAGCUCCAAACAGACACACUCAUCCUGAUGCUGGAAACAGCUCUGCCUGCAGCUGUCACCUCACAGGGCUGCAGCUCUAUGCAAUGCCAGCUCCUGGCCUUGAAAGUGGAGAGGAUGCUCAUCUGCAGAGCAGGCACAGACAGCUGCAGCUGCUCUCUG